UCCACCAUUUCAGGAAAAGGGGGAUGUCCCUU
RNAcentral lists this non-coding RNA (32 nucleotides) under Rattus norvegicus (Norway rat). Lineage: Eukaryota; Metazoa; Chordata; Mammalia; Rodentia; Muridae. The record is from RNAcentral.